CAAGGAGAGCAGGAGCUCUCGGAGGAAGAGGAUGUGAAGCCACCAAAGACAUAUGACUCACUGCUUUUGGUGUAAUCCCCAAGCACCAGAAGCUCUACUUUAAACCAUGAGAGUGAGUCUUCUUGGACAUCCAGUCCAACUGAGCCUUCAGAUGUCUGUAGUCCUGACCAACCUUUGAUGACAAUUUCAUAAGAGACUCCAGGUACUUAGGUUAAGACUCCAGCUAAGCUCUUCCCCAAAUUACUGUCAGACAAAAUCACAAGCAAAACAAAAUGAAUGUUGUUUUAUACCAGUAGGUUUUGGGUGGAAUUACUAUAUAGCAAGAGUAACAGAUUUUGUUACCUGGAAGUAGGGUGUUACCAGGACCAGUGAGCCUCAAAAUGGCUGUCAGUGAAGACUUGAGGAAUAGUGAGUGGAAUAUUUUUGGGGGCUAAAAGAUAGAAGAUUUUGGAUUUCCAGUGGUAAAGUUUGGGAAAAAUGUCACCUGCAGAAAAUAGAAAUGUACCUAGUGAACUUAUCUGGCUAAGGGUAUUUUUAGGCUAAAUGUUCAAAGUGAUGUAAUUUCUUUUGGUUGACUGUCAUAAAAUACAAAUAAAGAGAUGUGAGCUAAAGAAGAAAUUAUUCCAUUUGCAAGCAGUAUGUAAAACAAAUAAAAAUGGCCCUUGAUUGCUAGGUUCAAAAAUAAAACUGUUUUUUCUUCCUAGUCUCUUCCCAAAGACUCUAAAAAGUAAGUGCCUCAGGGCAAGAUCAAAUCCAGGGUGCUGUCAGGAAAUAUGGUCUUAGAGUAAAUAUGAAGCAAAAUGUAUGACUGUAAAAAUCCCUUUCUUAAGAUGGAGAGAUUUAGGUGACUAUUCAAGGACCCUUUCAAAAAGCCUUCUACUGAUACUCAGGAUGUGCCUCACAGAAUCUCCAUUUUCAAUUGAACAAUUGGCCUUCUGAGAAUUUUAGAGGAAUAGGUCCACAGCAACCUCACAGGGAACCCAAGGUAGAGAUCUACUCUUAGGUCAACUUUUCAGCUUUUGCAUAGGAACACACUGUUCAAGAUUGAGUAUUUUAAGCAAAAGUCAAGGUAUCAUAUCAUUAUAUAAGCCAAAACCAUCCCAAGUUGCAGGUGAGGUUUUGUUUUUGUUUUUGUUUUGUUCCUUUUUUUUUUUUUAGAGUUUUAUCUUGACAGGCUCUGAAAUAUAACCUUCUCUUUGGAGUGGCAAGAGUGUAUAUGGCCAUCUGCUUUUGCCUGAUCAAAGGCUCCUUCAAAGUUCCAUUUGUUGAGACAAAGUCCCUCAGAUAGAGGACGUCUAGUGCUGAAGUAGGCAUCAGGCAAGCAUUAGAGUCCCCAGGAAGGCUGCUAACCUGUUGACCAUACACUACAUGUAUUCUCACCCAGUUCAGUCUCAGGGAACAGACAGAAGGGUUUUGAGUUUAAAGAGAGCAUGCCAUGUUGCAGUAGUGGCAGGCUUUAGAGGCAGAGAUGUGAAGGAGAUUAAAAGAAAGUUUACAGGCUUGGCAUUAGGUAGCACACAUGAUCUCAGUUCUGCCAGAGCUUCACCUCUGUGAUGAAAUACUUGACAACAUCAGAAAGUGUACUUGAUAAUGUGGAGUGCUGCUGGGACUCGUAAUCCACUUCUCCUCCAUGCACCAACAGCAAGAAGAGUUCUCUGGAGAUGUGUUAAUACUAGAGACUCUUGUGCAAUGAGCCACAUGACAAGGUGCUAUUGAACAGUUUGGAAAAUCAGAUUCAGUUAAAGCAUGUUAUUACAAGAGCAAUAUACAGUAAGGCAUUAUUAGAGAAGCUUUAGAAUUCAUGGGAGAUCUAAAUUAUCCUUGUUAGUAAAACUUUUUUUUCAGGAAGAUCAGAAAUAAGGGUAAGGAUGCUUUCGUUAUGGAACCCAGCCAAAGUGUGGAGUUGAACUAGAAGCCUUAACUGAGACUUGGGGAGUUGCAGUUGAUGCUGCUGGUUUGAUAACUUUCCUAUUAAAUCAACUUCUCUGCAAAUAAUGUUCCAGGGAGUGGUUUCCAACCUCCAGCUCUGGUCUGAAACCCACUGAAAGUAGAAGCCCUGGUGAGAGAUCUUGUCCAUUACUUAAAUUCAGUGUGUGAGGUCUGAUCUCAGAGAGCAGCUGGGGCCAUUCAAGUACAAACCACCUUUAAUUAGGGAGCUGCUUAUUUAUAUUGUACAUAUACAAUGCAUUGCAAAGUAUCUCCCUCCCCACUUUUAAACCAAUGAUUGAUUAUUGUAGGAUGUGUUCCUUAAUGUGGGACAUCUCUGUAGGAUCAUCUCAUCCUCGAGAGAUAUUUGUGGCCUUGCCUGAGCCUACUGUUUCAAACUGUAUCUCAUUUCAACUUCUUCUUCUGCUUGAUCUGCUUCCCUUGCUCCUGCACAGAUACUGAUUUUAGGAGCAUUUCCAAUAAACCUCCUGUACGCAAAUCCUGAAGGAACUUUACCUGUGAUAGUGGGGUACCUUUAUAAACCAAAACUGCUAGAAAGGGCAGAUCCUGAAGCCUUCUUUAUUCUGAUGACCUCCUUAAGGGGUUUUGUGUAAAUAACACUGAGUGUAGGAGAUACUUAAAUUCCAUAUAAAAA
Long non-coding RNA from Manis pentadactyla (Chinese pangolin), 2581 nucleotides. RefSeq lists it as uncharacterized. The transcript has 3 exons. NCBI's taxonomy places the organism in Eukaryota, Metazoa, Chordata, Mammalia, Pholidota, Manidae. The record is from RefSeq and is a predicted model, not a curated record.